This 1308-nucleotide ribosomal RNA is filed under the name Triticum aestivum (bread wheat). RNAcentral's name for it is "partial small subunit ribosomal RNA". Lineage: Eukaryota; Viridiplantae; Streptophyta; Magnoliopsida; Poales; Poaceae. The record is from RNAcentral.
AUGACCACCUCCACCUACCACCGCCACCACCGCUGCCGGCGCGCCCCGUCGCGGUCGCCCCCACCCCCGCCGCAGCCACCAGACUCCACGCCUGUCGCCUCCACCACCUCGCCCACACCUCUCGCCCCGUCCCCACCCCGAGCAGAUGGGGAGGAGCAGCAGAGUCACAGAUCUGAGGCGCCAUGGCGGAGAGGAGGGGAUCUCGCCGGAGGAGAGGGCGAUGGAGGAGGAGCACCGCGAGAGGAUGACGAGGCGGAUGCGACGACCAGGGAGCAGAGACUCGCUGGUAAAGUUAGUUACAAGGAUUUGCGUGGACGCGUCGGAAGGGGAGAUGGCCCGCAUCCUGCGCACGCUGGAUCCCUCGCCGGAGGAGGUGGUCGCCUGGGCGCGGGCAGAGGUAACUUCGCACCUGCCGGAGCAACGAGCGAAGUGGAGAGCGUUCUGGUCGUUGCAGAACCCGCUCCCAUGACGCAUUUGCUUCGGAGCUGCGACACAACUCUGCCCCGGUCCCCAAGUUCGUCUGGAGAUAGUUCAAGCUUCGAUUUCGCGACACCGCUUCGAUGGGCGGGGGAGCACUCUGCUCGCCGACGUAUUGAUUUCUCCGAGGUGCGACAAGCUAUUCGGCCGCCGGAGUCGAGAUUUGGUCGCCGUGUUUUUGAACCUGUGGUCACGGUGGGGGAUUUCCACUGUUUCGCUGUCAAGAUGGUCCCACAUGGCAGCGAACGUGGUAACAGGGCCACAGGCCUGGCUGACCUGGAAGUGGGGACGAAGGAGGAAGACGACCCCGCAGCGAGAGAGCACCUUGGGCAGCUGUGGGGCGUGGAAAAGGAAAUCCUCACCAAACCCCGUCCUCUCCUGGUCUGGAUCAAGAAGAGUCGCCUCCGUGAGCGCAACCACUCCUCCCGUCCCCUUGCCAUCGACGACUGCCACCCCGCCGCUGCAUCUGACCUGGUUGAUCUGCCGGAUCUUGCUGCUGAAGCCGCCCGUGUUGAGAUCGACCCUGGGCUUCGUUCAGAGAUCAGGGCCAUGGCUGAUAACCAAGGGAGGGGCAGAGGAAGAGGGGGGGAGGAAACCCUAGAGGCAAGCAGGCGGACCCUCCACCCGCAGGUAACUGGCCCCAAUUCGAUCCCCAAUUCGCUUCACCGCCUCCUCAGUUCCAGUACGGCUUUGGUUUCCCUGGGGGGCGCAGAUCCCACCUCCAUGGUACCCAGGUGCCUACUUCCCUCCCCCUCCACAGCAGAUGAAUCAAUGGCGGGGAGGGCCAGGGCCCUGGGGAGGAAAUCAACUCCAAGAUCAAGGAGCGCCUGA